AUUGAACGCUGGCGGCAUGCCUUACACAUGCAAGUCGAACGGCAGCGGACCUUCGGGUGCCGGCGAGUGGCGAACGGGUGAGUAAUAUAUCGGAACGUACCUUUCAGUGGGGGAUAACGUAGCGAAAGUUACGCUAAUACCGCAUAUUCUGUGAGCAGGAAAGCAGGGGAUCGCAAGACCUUGCGCUGAUUGAGCGGCCGAUAUCAGAUUAGCUAGUUGGUGAGGUAAAGGCUCACCAAGGCGACGAUCUGUAGCGGGUCUGAGAGGAUGAUCCGCCACACUGGAACUGAGACACGGUCCAGACUCCUACGGGAGGCAGCAGUGGGGAAUUUUGGACAAUGGGCGCAAGCCUGAUCCAGCCGUGCCGCGUGAGUGAAGAAGGCCUCGGUUG
RNAcentral lists this ribosomal RNA (391 nucleotides) under uncultured bacterium. Its description in RNAcentral is "bacterial SSU rRNA". It matches the Rfam family "Bacterial small subunit ribosomal RNA", at positions 30 to 425 of the family's 1533-position model. The record is from RNAcentral.